GGCCGAGAGAGCUCAACGCGCUGCAAAUGAGAAAACACAUGCAAAUAGAAAAAAAUACAUGCAAAUAGAAAACAACGCCAGCGAAUUAAGAAAACAUCUUCAUCUAUUUUACAAAACACGUGUGCUCCAAAGACUCACAACACAACCAAAUACGGAACGCGCUGCAACUACGGAAACGCGCUGCAACUACGGAAACGCGCUGCAAGAGUUCACAACACAACGGAAAUGAUUCCAGGGGACCCCAAAAAGUGACGAACCCGGCUGGCUGGGACAUGCUUAGACCUUAAUAAGACCUCAUCAGUGGUGUUGUCGUCUGUCCAUGACCUGAAAAGUUAUGUAUUGUCCAUAUUGUGGACUUGAAUUGGUUGGAUAUAUUGGAUGCUUUUGUGGUUCCUGUGGUAGCAACAUUAGAUUUCUGGCACCUUUUCUACAGAAUGGCCCAGAAACAGUGUCAGCCGAACUCACAGAGGCAGACCUUAUCCAUAAAUAUUUCUCAGAGGGCCACACAUAUGAAUUGAUCCUUGAUUUUCUUGGAACAAAGCAUAAUAUUUUCCUGAGUCUGAGCACCUUAAAGAGAAGGCUUAGGAAUGCAGGCCUAACAAGGAGGACAGAGUAUACUCCCA
Molecule: long non-coding RNA, 623 nt
Organism: Xyrauchen texanus (razorback sucker)
Lineage: Eukaryota; Metazoa; Chordata; Actinopteri; Cypriniformes; Catostomidae
Exons: 3
Source: RefSeq, a predicted model, not a curated record